Molecule: ribosomal RNA, 915 nt
Filed under: Ocellularia bonplandii
Lineage: Eukaryota; Fungi; Ascomycota; Lecanoromycetes; Ostropales; Graphidaceae
Description: eukaryotic LSU rRNA
Rfam family: Eukaryotic large subunit ribosomal RNA
Source: RNAcentral
UGCUUGGGUGCGGCCCCGGUCCAAGUCCCYUGGAACAGGGCGUCGCAGAAGGGUGAGAAUCCCGUACGCGGCCGAUGGCCAAGCCCAUGUGAAGCCCUUUCGACGAGUCGAGUUGUUUGGGAAUGCAGCUCUAAAUGGGUGGUAAAUUUCAUCUAAAGCUAAAUAUCUGCCGGAGACCGAUAGCGCACAAGUAGAGUGAUCGAAAGAUGAAAAGCACUUUGAAAAGAGAGUCAAACAGUACGUGAAAUUGUUGAAAGGGAAGCGCUUGCAACCAGACUCGUUCGCGGGUGCUCAGCCGUCCCUCGGGGCGGUGCACUCUCCCGCGUUUCGGGCCAGCAUCGGUUUUGGCGGCCGGAUAAAGGCCCCGGGAACGUAGCUCUCUUCGGGGAGUGUUAAGCCCGGGGUGCAAUGCGGCCAGCCGGGACCGAGGACCGCGCGUUCGCUAGGAUGCUGGCGUAAUGGUUGCCAGCGACCCGUCUUGAAACACGGACCAAGGAGUCGACCAAUCUGGCGAGUUUUAGGGCAUGAAACCCUGAAGCGCAAUGAAAGUGAACGUAGGUGGGAGCCCCCGGGUGCACCAUCGACCGAUCCUGAUGUCCUCGGAUGGAUUUGAGUAUGAGCCCGGUUGGUCGGACCCGAAAGAUGGUGAACUAUGCGUGAAUAGGGUGAAGCCAGAGGAAACUCUGGUGGAGGCUCGCAGCGGUUCUGACGUGCAAAUCGAUCGUCAAAUUUGCGCAUAGGGGCGAAAGACUAAUCGAACUAUCUAGUAGCUGGUUCCCGUCGAAGUUUCCCUCAGGAUAGCAGCAACGAAAACAGUCUCAUGAGGUAGAGCAAACGAUUAGAGGUCUUGGGGUUGAAAUCGACCUUAACCUAUUCUCGAACUUCGAAUAUGUGAGAAGUCCUUGUUACUUAGUU